AACAAAGUCAGAAUUGGAUGACUGCAUAUGUGGAAGAAAGAGAGAGUCCAAGGAAACAAUUUCCUAUAGUGAGAAGAUGGCCUUGUGCAAACCACAAAGAAGCCUCUCACCAGACACCAUUGUCUGACAUCACCUUGAUCUUGGACUUAUAGCUUCCAGAACUGAAGUAGAUGUGGACACUCAAUCACUUAUUUGGAUAACUGAAAAAAACAUGCUGUUUGAUCUCUAUAUACUUCUUUGCAUUCAGUGCCUCUAUGGGAAGAGAGAAAUUAAGGAGCCUCCUAUGGCAUCAUCUGGUCUAAUAACAUC
Molecule: long non-coding RNA, 309 nt
Organism: Hyaena hyaena (striped hyena)
Lineage: Eukaryota; Metazoa; Chordata; Mammalia; Carnivora; Hyaenidae
Exons: 5
Source: RefSeq, a predicted model, not a curated record